RNAcentral lists this ribosomal RNA (269 nucleotides) under uncultured bacterium. Its description in RNAcentral is "partial 16S ribosomal RNA". It matches the Rfam family "Bacterial small subunit ribosomal RNA", at positions 524 to 794 of the family's 1533-position model. The record is from RNAcentral.
UACGGAGGAUCCAAGCGUUAUCCGGAAUCAUUGGGUUUAAAGGGUCCGUAGGCGGUUUAAUAAGUCAGUGGUGAAAGCCCAUCGCUCAACGGUGGAACGGCCAUUGAUACUGUUAAACUUGAAUUAUUAGGAAGUAACUAGAAUAUGUAGUGUAGCGGUGAAAUGCUUAGAGAUUACAUGGAAUACCAAUUGCGAAGGCAGGUUACUACUAAUGGAUUGACGCUGAUGGACGAAAGCGUGGGUAGCGAACAGGAUUAGAACCUCCGAGU